CUCAGAACGAACGCUGGCGGCGUGGAUUAGGCAUGCAAGUCGAGCGGGAUCAUCGAAGCUUGCUUUGAUGGUGAGAGCGGCGAACGGGUGAGGAAUACUUGGGUGACCUGCCUUUAAGUCUGGAAUAGCUUCGGGAAACUGGAGGUAAUGCCGGAUGUGAUCGUCCACUACAAAGUGGACUGUUUAAAGAGGGGGAUCUUCGGACCUCUCGCUUAGAGAUGGGCCCAAGCCCUAUCAGCUUGUUGGUGAGGUAACGGCUCACCAAGGCCAAGACGGGUAGCUGGUCUGAGAGGAUGGUCAGCCACACUGGGACUGAGACACUGCCCAGACUCCUACGGGAGGCUGCAGUCGAGAAUCAUUCACAAUGCACGAAAGUGUGAUGAUGCGACGCCGCGUGAAGGAUGAAGGCCUUAGGGUUGUAAACUUCUGUCAGAAGGAAAGAACAGUCCGCCGGGGAAUAUCCGGCGGAUUUGACGGUACCUUCAGAGGAAGCCACGGCUAACUCUGUGCCAGCAGCCGCGGUAAUACAGAGGUGGCAAGCGUUGUUCGGAUUUACUGGGCGUAAAGGGUGCGUAGGCGGUUUCGUGUGUCAGAUGUGAAAGCCCAUGGCUCAACCAUGGAAUUGCAUUUGAAACUGCGGAACUCGAGUAUCGGAGAGGUAGAUGGAAUUCUAGGUGUAGCGGUGAAAUGCGUAGAUAUCUAGAAGAACACCAGCGGCGAAAGCGAUCUACUGGACGAAUACUGACGCUGAGGCACGAAAGCCACGGGAGCGAAGAGGAUUAGAUACCCUCGUAGUCCUGGCCAUCAACGGUGCACACUUGGUGUGGGAGGUUCUAUCCCCUUCCGUGCCGGA
This 853-nucleotide ribosomal RNA is filed under the name uncultured organism. RNAcentral describes it as "bacterial SSU rRNA". It matches the Rfam family "Bacterial small subunit ribosomal RNA", at positions 23 to 850 of the family's 1533-position model. The record is from RNAcentral.